RNAcentral lists this transfer RNA (88 nucleotides) under Polyplacotoma mediterranea. RNAcentral's name for it is "tRNA-Ser". It matches the Rfam family "tRNA". From Rfam's summary of the family: Transfer RNA (tRNA) molecules are approximately 80 nucleotides in length. Their secondary structure includes four short double-helical elements and three loops (D, anti-codon, and T loops). The record is from RNAcentral. Lineage: Eukaryota; Metazoa; Placozoa.
GUAUUGAUAGCUAAGAGGUCUAAAGCGUCUGCCUUGAAAGCAGACGGCCGUUUUCCGGUCUCCGCGGGUUCGAAUCCUGCUCAAUAUU